Molecule: non-coding RNA, 86 nt
Filed under: Pseudo-nitzschia pungens
Lineage: Eukaryota; Bacillariophyta; Bacillariophyceae; Bacillariales; Bacillariaceae
Source: RNAcentral
CUCAGCUUUGCCACUGCUGUCCAUGAUGGUUCGAUUCGAAGUUUGUGCAUAGCAGGAAAUCCAAACAAGAACGAACCUGGUGCAUU